GAAAGUAGGAAAGGGCGCACGGCGGAUGCCUUGGCUCAUUCAGGCGAAGAAGGACGUGAUAAGCUGCGAUAAGCCGCGGGUAGGCGCAAAUGGCCAUUGAUCCGCGGAUUUCCGAAUGGGACAACCCAGGCGGCAGGAGGCCGCCUAUCCGGAUCAUUCCGGAGGCUAACCGGGGGAACUGAAACAUCUUAGUACCCCGAGGAAGAGAAAAUAAUCUAAUGAUUCCCCCAGUAGUGGCGAGCGAACGGGGAAGAGCCCAAACCGUGACGGUCGCAAGGCCGCCGCGGGGUUGUAGGACCGCGCCAUUGCACAUUGAGGGUGAGUGGAAUCUCCUGGAAAGGCGAAUCGUAGAAGGUGAUAAUCCUGUACACGAAGCCCGAUGUGGCAUAGCGGUAUCCUGAGUAACGCGGGACACGAGGAAUCCUGCGCGAAUCUGCCGGGACCAUCCGGUAAGGCUAAAUACUCGAAUGAGACCGAUAGCGAACGAGUACCGUGAGGGAAAGGUGAAAAGCACUUCCAUGAGAAGAGUGAAAUAGUUCCUGAAACCGUGCGCCUACAAGCGGUCGGAGCGCAGCGAUGCGUGACGGCGUGCCUUUUGCAUAAUGAGCCUACGAGUUGCCGUCACCGGCGAGGCUAAGCCCCAUGAGGGGCGCAGCCGCAGUGAGAGCGAGCCUGAAGAGGGCGUUGUUAGUCGGUGGGGGCAGACGCGAAACCAAGUGAUCUACGCAUGUCCAGGAUGAAGUCCGGGUAACACCGGAUGGAGGUCCGCACCAAUAAGCGUUGAAAAGCUUCUGGAUGAGGUGUGCGUAGGAGUGAAAGGCCAAUCAAACUUGGAGAUAGCUCGUACUCCCCGAAAGGCAUUUAGGUGCCGCGUGUGGCGUUCCCCUGGAGAGGUAGAGCGACCGAUAGGACGCGAGGGCUUCACCGCCUAUCAAGUCCUGACGAACUCCGAAUGCUUCAGGGCAGGAGCCAUGCAGUAAGGGGGCGGGUGCUAAGGUCCGUCCCCGAGAGGAGAAGAAUCCGGACCGCCGCCUAAGGCCCCGGAGUUUCCGCCGAGUCAGUCUAACGAAGUCCGGUCCCCGUGACAGCCAGGAUGUUGGCUUGGAAGCAGCCAUUCAUUCAAAGAGUGCGUAACAGCUCACUGGUCGAGGGUCCGGGCGUGGAUAAUAAUCGGGUGUAAGCGGAACGCCGAAGGCGCGGGAUAGCAGAGCAAUGAAAAGUAUCGGUAGGGGAGCAUUCCACCGGCGUUGAAUGCGUGGAGCGAUCCGCGCUGGAGCUUGUGGAAAAGCAAAUGUAGGCAUAAGUAACGAUUAGGAGGGCGAGAACCCCUCCCGCCGUAAGUCUAAGGUUUCCCGGGCAAUGCCAGUCAUCCCGGGGUCAGUCGGGUCCUAAGCCUCAUCCGAAGGGAGAGGGCGAUGGCAGAGACGGUCAACAUUCCGUCACUUGCCUUGGGGGCGAUGUGGAGACGGAGCAGUGAAACGGCCGCGGGGCGACGGAAGUCCCCGUUGAAGGGUGUAGGUGAUGAUAGAGGCAGGCAAAUCCGCCUUUAGAGCCGAACCUGACAGUAUCUUCCCUCCUUCGGGAGGUAGGAAUAGCGCCGGUAAGCAUACUCCCGAGAAAAUCCGCUAAGCUCAACCCCAUGGCAACCCGUACCGCAAACCGACACAGGUAGACGGGUAGAACAUACUAAGGCGUUGGAAGAUUCAUGGUUAAGGAACUAGGCAAACUGACCCUGUAACUUCGGGAUAAAGGGUCCUCACAGCGAUGUGAGGCGCAGAGAAUAGGUCCAGGCAACUGUUUAACAAAAACACAGGGCUGUGCAAACUCGAAAGAUGACGUAUACAGCCUGACACCUGCCCGGUGCCGGAAGGUUAAGAGGAGAUGUCACUCGCAAGAGGAAGCAUUGAAUUGAAGCCCCGGUAAACGGCGGCCGUAACUAUAACGGUCCUAAGGUAGCGAAAUUCCUUGUCGGGUAAGUUCCGACCUGCACGAAUGGUGUAAUGAUCCGGACGCUGUCUCAACCAUGAUUCCAGUGAAAUUGUAGUAUCGGUGAAGAUGCCGAUUACCCGCGAUGGGACGAAAAGACCCCGUGAACCUUUACUACAGCUUAGCAUUGACCUUGGUCAUCCGAUGUGUAGGAUAGGCCGGAGGCUUUGAAGCGGGAGCGCCAGCUUUCGUGGAGCCAUCCUUGAAAUACGGCCCUUUGGCUGUCUGAGGUCUAACGCGUGAUUACGCGGACACUGCUUGGUGGGUAGUUUGACUGGGGUGGUCGCCUCCAAAAGCGUAACGGAGGCUUCCAAAGGUGCCCUCGGGUCGAUUGGUAACCGACCUCAAAGAGUGCAAUGGCAUAAGGGCGCUUGACUGGGAGGCAGACAUGCCGAGCAGGCAGGAAACUGGGGCAUAGUGAUCCGGCGGAUGUGUAUGGAAACUCCGUCGCUCAAAGGAUAAAAGGUACUCCGGGGAUAACAGGCUGAUCCCCCCCAAGAGCUCAUAUCGACGGGGUGGUUUGGCACCUCGAUGUCGGCUCGUCACAUCCUGGGGCUGGAGAAGGUCCCA
This 2556-nucleotide ribosomal RNA is filed under the name metagenome. RNAcentral's name for it is "bacterial LSU rRNA". It matches the Rfam family "Bacterial large subunit ribosomal RNA", at positions 1 to 2567 of the family's 2925-position model. The record is from RNAcentral.